UUUAAGAGCACUUAUAUGUUUUCAUGGUCAAUGUUUGUCUAUCUGUUUUAUUUGAAAUUAUUUUAUUAAUAUUUUUUAUUGUUAUUAGAUGGUAAAACAUGAAAAGUAUUUUAUGUAUGAGUGUAUGACUUAUCAUUUUAAAUUUUUUCAUAAAUUUUUCAAAUAAGAUGGAUGAUCAAAUGUUGCACUUCAAAUGGGACAG
RNAcentral lists this microRNA precursor (202 nucleotides) under Oryza nivara. RNAcentral describes it as "MIR812 microRNA precursor family". It matches the Rfam family "MIR812 microRNA precursor family". Lineage: Eukaryota; Viridiplantae; Streptophyta; Magnoliopsida; Poales; Poaceae. The record is from Rfam by way of RNAcentral.